RNAcentral lists this transfer RNA (72 nucleotides) under Enteroscipio rubneri. Its description in RNAcentral is "tRNA-Leu". Lineage: Bacteria; Bacillati; Actinomycetota; Coriobacteriia; Eggerthellales; Eggerthellaceae. The record is from RNAcentral.
UGCCUUUUGACCUGGGUAUUUGCCUCCCUUACAAGGACAAGGUCACAGGUUCAAAUCCUGUACCGGCCACCA